Manis javanica (Malayan pangolin) is the source of this 394-nucleotide long non-coding RNA. RefSeq lists it as uncharacterized. The record is from RefSeq and is a predicted model, not a curated record. Lineage: Eukaryota; Metazoa; Chordata; Mammalia; Pholidota; Manidae.
UGAUAUAUUACACAAACCAGCAAAGAUGAGGCCUUAAAGUCAACUGCACACUGGAUUCGACGCCAGAGGCUCUCCAGUGCUGCCUGCCGCUCCUGCAGCUUUGGCUGAUAUCACAGGUACAUUUCUGAAGGAACUCCAUCCUAAGGGACUCUGAGGAUGCCUAUCCCUGCUUUCCAAGUGUGUUAAUUGCACCAAAGGACAGAGAUCUUCUCAACAGUAUUCAAGUCUUCAGCCACACUUACCUAGUCCUGGUGGGACCGCAUCCUGAAGUGGAGAGAGGAUGAGAGGCUUCUAAACGCACCACCCUGCUUCCCGGGAAGGAUGUUAUGCGAUGGUUUGUGAUCACCUCCUGGGUUCGGACGAAGCACACACGACUCAGACACAGGCCACCCCG